GAUGAACGCUAGCUACAGGCUUAACACAUGCAAGUCGAGGGGAAACGACAUCGAAAGCUUGCUUUUGAUGGGCGUCGACCGGCGCACGGGUGAGUAACGCGUAUCCAACCUGCCCACCACUUGGGGAUAACCUUGCGAAAGUAAGACUAAUACCCAAUGACGUCUCUAGAAGACAUCUGAAAGAGAUUAAAGAUUUAUCGGUGAUGGAUGGGGAUGCGUCUGAUUAGCUUGUUGGCGGGGUAACGGCCCACCAAGGCGACGAUCAGUAGGGGUUCUGAGAGGAAGGUCCCCCACAUUGGAACUGAGACACGGUCCAAACUCCUACGGGAGGCAGCAGUGAGGAAUAUUGGUCAAUGGACGAGAGUCUGAACCAGCCAAGUAGCGUGCAGGAUGACGGCCCUAUGGGUUGUAAACUGCUUUUAUAAGGGAAUAAAGUGAGUCUCGUGAGACUUUUUGCAUGUACCUUACGAAUAAGGACCGGCUAAUUCCGUG
This 492-nucleotide ribosomal RNA is filed under the name uncultured bacterium. RNAcentral describes it as "partial 16S ribosomal RNA". It matches the Rfam family "Bacterial small subunit ribosomal RNA", at positions 28 to 507 of the family's 1533-position model. The record is from RNAcentral.